RNAcentral lists this small RNA (29 nucleotides) under Bombyx mori (domestic silkworm). Its description in RNAcentral is "ovarian small RNA-30532". Lineage: Eukaryota; Metazoa; Arthropoda; Insecta; Lepidoptera; Bombycidae. The record is from RNAcentral.
UGAAAUAAGACGACUGCUACGUGGUAGGC